CUACGGGAGGCUGCAGUGAGGAAUAUUACACAAUGGGGGGAACCCUGAUGCAGCAACGCCGCGUGGAGGAUGACGCAUUUCGGUGUGUAAACUCCUUUUAUAUGUCAAGAAAAUGACGGUAGCAUAUGAAUAAGCACCGGCUAACUCCGUGCCAGCAGCCGCGGUAAUACGGAGGGUGCAAGCGUUACUCGGAAUCACUGGGCGUAAAGGACGCGUAGGCGGGCUUGUAAGUCAGGUGUGAAAUCCUACAGCUUAACUGUAGAACUGCACUUGAAACUACGAGCCUAGAGUAUGGGAGGGGGAGAUGGAAUUAGUGGUGUAGGGGUAAAAUCCGUAGAUAUCACUAGGAAUACCUAAAGCGAAGGCGAUCUCCUGGAACAUAACUGACGCUAAGGCGUGAAAGCGUGGGGAGCAAACAGGAUUAGAUACCCUCGUAGUC
This 439-nucleotide ribosomal RNA is filed under the name uncultured bacterium. Its description in RNAcentral is "partial 16S ribosomal RNA". It matches the Rfam family "Bacterial small subunit ribosomal RNA", at positions 339 to 795 of the family's 1533-position model. The record is from RNAcentral.